This is a long non-coding RNA of Nerophis lumbriciformis (worm pipefish), 909 nucleotides long. RefSeq lists it as uncharacterized. NCBI's taxonomy places the organism in Eukaryota, Metazoa, Chordata, Actinopteri, Syngnathiformes, Syngnathidae. The record is from RefSeq and is a predicted model, not a curated record.
CACGCAUGCGCAUUUAGUGGGCGAAUGUGACUUGUAUCGAUUGGAGGAAACAAUUCAGCAUCGAAGGAAUAACGACUGAAAUAUUGGAGUGUCAAAAUGACAAAACGAAAACCUGCAAAACGAUGGAGAAGAACCGGUAAAGAAGUCGACUCAAAUAAACGAUCAAGAAGGACUGUACAAUUGCCACCAAUGUGAAUGUGGAGACUGAUGAGCAAUGUCUAAGAGGUAGCAGCAGGGGAACAGAAGGAGCCCAAAACACUGCUCUUCAUAUGGAACACAUCCAACCUCCAGGUGUCCAUGCAGGAUGUACCGCUCUGGAACAUCAAGCCUCUCCCUACUCGCCAGCACAUGAAAAUAUUUCUACUUUUGACUCUAUCAAAGACAAUGGAAAACCAUUUUCCAGAUCAGCCCUCAUAGAUCCUCCUGAUGGCCUAACAACUGAACUACAUGUCGAUGCUGAGUAUGAUCCAUCUCAAUCAUUUGAGGAAUCUCUCCCUGAUAUGGGGGAUUGGAUGUACAAUGACGGACAUACGUUUAAUGAAGGAUUUGAAGAUAGUUUGAGUGAGGAGUGUGCAGAAGAGUCAAAUAUCAAGGACACAACAGACAAACCAUUAUAUGACAAUGCAUCAGUAACCGUGGCAGAGUGCCUUCUGAUCAUCAUGGCUUAUGAAAACUGUCAUAAAGUCACUAUAAGGCCCUAUAAGCGAUUUGCUGAAAAUGUUCAAGUUGCUUUGUCCCGAUAGUCUGAAUGCAGACUGCUUAAACAGUGUGCAGAAGUUCAAAAACUUUCUUUUAUCCCGCUCUGCAUCAUCGCCUAUUUUAUUACAUAAAUACUGCAGUAAUUGUUUUGGGCCAUUAGAAAGUAAACAAAUAAAAUGUCUGUCUUGUGGGACCAGUGUGUCAGAAGAA